Molecule: ribosomal RNA, 841 nt
Filed under: uncultured eukaryote
Lineage: Eukaryota
Description: SSU rRNA
Rfam family: Eukaryotic small subunit ribosomal RNA
Source: RNAcentral
AUUCCAGCUCCAAUAGCGUAUAUUCAUGUUGUUGCAGUUAAAAAGCUCGUAGUUGAACAUCAGAUGCGGCGGGGUGGUGCGCUUCGGCGCUACUGCCUCUCUAUAGCGUCUAGAAUGCGAGGCGCAGCACGCAAGUGUUGGCAGCCCGCGGGUUACUGUGAGGAAAUUAGAGUGUUUAAAGCAGGCGUUUGCUUGAAUACUGCAGCAUGGAAUAACGAGUAGGACUCCGGUUCUGCUUUGUUGGUUUGAGGGCCAGAGUAAUGGUUAAUAGGAACAGUUGGGGGCAUUAGUAUUCAGUAGUCAGAGGUGAAAUUCUUGGAUUUACUGAAGACUGACUAGUGCGAAAGCAUUUGCCAAGGAUGUUUCCAUUAAUCAAGAACGAAAGUUAGGGGAUCGAAGACGAUUAGAUACCGUCGUAGUCUUAACUGUAAACUACGCCGACUAGGGAUCGGUGGCUGUCAUCUUGACACCAUCGGCACCUUGUGAGAAAUCAAAGUUAUUGGGUUCUGGGGAGAGUAUGGUCGCAAGGCUGAAAUUUAAAGGAAUUGACGGAAGGGCACACCAAGAGUGGAUUCUGCGGCUUAAUUUGACUCAACACGGGAAAACUCACCAGGUCCGGACAUAAGAAGGAUUGACAGAUUGAAAGCUCUUUCUUGAUUUUAUGGGAGGUGGUGCAUGGCCGUUCGUAGUUGGUGGAGUGAUUUGUCUGGUUAAUUCCGAUAACGAACGAGACCUAAACCUGCUAAAUAGGGGUGGGCACGCGAGUGCUUCGCACCUUCUUAGAGGGACUGAAUACGUUUAGUAUUCGGAAGUUUUAGGCAAUAACAGGUCUGUGAUGCCC